RNAcentral lists this non-coding RNA (264 nucleotides) under Megasphaera cerevisiae. RNAcentral describes it as "T-box sequence". It matches the Rfam family "T-box leader". Rfam says of the family: Uncharged tRNA acts as the effector for transcription antitermination of genes in the T-box leader family. T-boxes are found upstream of many aminoacyl-tRNA synthetase genes and some amino acid biosynthetic genes usually in Gram-positive bacteria. The anticodon of a specific tRNA base pairs to a specifier sequence within the T-box motif, and the NCCA acceptor tail of the tRNA base pairs to a conserved bulge in the T-box antiterminator hairpin. Lineage: Bacteria; Bacillati; Bacillota; Negativicutes; Veillonellales; Veillonellaceae. The record is from RNAcentral.
AAAACAGUGUUGAUUGGGAGUAGUAAGGCCGGUGCGGAAAUAACAGAGAAUCUGUCGGAGGCUGAGAGACAGAAUGGAAACACGGCUUGAACUCACCCAGGAGCAGCUGCCCGAACGCAUUCACAAGUAGGAACAGCCGGCAGACAACCGUUAUCUUGUCAGGCAUUAAAAGGCAAUGUCCGGAGAUGUCCGUAAAAGUGGUCAUAUGAGUAUUCAUAUGGCAAUAAGAGUGGUACCGCAAAGUAUACAUACUUUGUCUCUUUU